This 79-nucleotide ribosomal RNA is filed under the name Acidaminobacter sp. JC074. Its description in RNAcentral is "partial 23S ribosomal RNA". It matches the Rfam family "Bacterial large subunit ribosomal RNA", at positions 1 to 78 of the family's 2925-position model. Lineage: Bacteria; Bacillati; Bacillota; Clostridia; Peptostreptococcales; Acidaminobacteraceae. The record is from RNAcentral.
AGGUCAAGUUAAUAAGGGCAUGCGGUGGAUGCCUAGGCACUGAGAGCCGAUGAAGGACGUGAUAAGCUGCGAAAAGUCA